GUCCAUGCCGUAACGAUGUCUACUAGCCGUUGGCUCUUGAGACUUUAGUGGCGCAGCUAACGCGAUAAGUAGACCGCCUGGGAGUACGGUCGCAAGACUAAACUCAAAUGAAUUGACGGGCCGCACAAGCGGUGGAGCAUGUGGUUAAUUCGAUGCAACGCGAAGAACCUUACCUGGUCUUGACAUAGUAAGAACUUUUCCAGAGAUGGAUUGGUGCCUUCGGGAACUUACAUACAGGUGCUGCAUGGCUGUCGU
RNAcentral lists this ribosomal RNA (255 nucleotides) under uncultured bacterium. Its description in RNAcentral is "partial 16S ribosomal RNA". It matches the Rfam family "Bacterial small subunit ribosomal RNA", at positions 793 to 1055 of the family's 1533-position model. The record is from RNAcentral.